This 1004-nucleotide long non-coding RNA is filed under the name Phasianus colchicus (ring-necked pheasant). Its description in RNAcentral is "lncRNA (ENSPCLG00000016660.1)". The record is from RNAcentral. Lineage: Eukaryota; Metazoa; Chordata; Aves; Galliformes; Phasianidae.
GGGUGGGGAUAAUGAUUGGUGACCUCAGCAGGUCUCCACUGGGGCAGCCAUUCCUGAGGCUGGGCCUCCAUUCCAGGCUCUUCUGUUCAGGGGAAGCCUGGGCACCUUGUCAGGUGCCUGGCAGAGCAGCCGCUUCAGGAGCUGCCAUCGCAUCUGUGGUUGACCAGCAGCUUUUGUCUUCUCAGGCCCUACUGCCUUGUGCCAAAUCUGAGAGGGUGAGAGUACGCCAAUGUGCCAUGGAGAGGAUUGCCAACCUGAGCAAGGUCCUAGUCCCUGCUUCGCUGAUAGUGGUAAGGAGCCGGAGAGACAAGCAGCAUUUAACCCCCUUCUUGUCCCAUCCUGGUGCCCUAAUAAGCUGGUAGCUCUGGGCUCUGUGCUCUGCAAGACCAGCACAUCUGGGGCAGAUCCCCCAGACACCAAAAUCCAGCAGCCACUCAAAACCCUUCAACAGUUCCCACCAAAGACAGUCAGUGUGCUCCUAGAUGUGGGUCUGCCACGGGUAGGCCCCUGCGUGGCACAGGGCAGAGCUGGCCAAAGCGCUGGCUCUCAACUCCUGUGGUGCUCAGCCCGCUGCUGGCUCUGGGGGGUCAGGGCUUUUGUCCCAUGUGCAUCAGUUCAACCCAGCUACCUCUGCCUUUCCUUCGUUCCUCAGAGCUCAUCUCGAUACAGUGAAAGCGGGGACAGCAAUCGCUUCUUAGAAAAGAAGUCUGAGAUGCUCGUGGGGCAGCUGUUGGGGCACCUCAUCCUCUGCUGUGCUGAGGAGGAUCAGGACAUCAGGCAUGAUUCUAUGGAGGCUCUGCAUGACAUCCACAGGAUCCUGGCAAUGCGACAGAGUUACAAGUUUGGAUAUGCUAAUCUCGAACUAUAUGCGGAGAGUGAAUGCUGGGACUACUUCUGCGCCCAAUAUGCUGCCCUGAAUACACUGGUAAGCAGCUCAUCCCUUGCUGGGAUGCUUGACCCCUCCCCCCCCCGCGGCAGGAGGCUCACAUGAGCCAAUACUUCAG